This 243-nucleotide ribosomal RNA is filed under the name uncultured bacterium. RNAcentral's name for it is "partial 16S ribosomal RNA". It matches the Rfam family "Bacterial small subunit ribosomal RNA", at positions 118 to 348 of the family's 1533-position model. The record is from RNAcentral.
UGGGUAACCUGCCCGGAUGUGUGGGAUACCUCGGGGGAAACUCGAGCUAAUACCGCAUGACAUCUUCGGGACGAAAGUCCUGAUGAUCAAAGCGGGGUCGCAAGAUCUCGCGCUUCCGGAUGGGCCCGCGCCCGAUUAGCUAGUUGGCGAGGUAACGGCUCACCAAGGCAACGAUCGGUAGCCGGCCUGAGAGGGUGAUCGGCCACACCGGAACUGAGACACGGUCCGGACUCCGUAGGGAGG